AUGGAUAUUGCGUCCCCCAAAGAACAUGAUGAUGAAAGUGAGUAUUUUGCUUCAUGGGUAGUUAGGAAGCAACUAUACCCGGAGACUGUCAACUGGAUACCGCCGGUUCGGAUCUUCCGGUACACAGCUAUCUUUGAGGAGGCCUGGGGUUGGGACCGGCUACUGCCACAUACCAGUGUUCCGAUCCCCACGUAUUUGGAGUACCUGACGGAGUAUCACAAGCGCAAUCGCAUGGAUUACGUUGCUGCUGCCGCUGGCAACUCAAAACCUGAAGACUGGCCGCUCAAAUACCGAGCAGUGAAUAAUGAUACCCAAUUCGACCCGGAUGCGUCACUUGUAGAUGCCGCCCAGUUUUGUCUGAAAAUGGAGGAGCGUUUCAUGUUGGCAUGGAAUAACAAACGCGUCCGCAAUGUGAAACAUCUGAGCCAAUUGAUACAGGAGCGAGCCCGUGCCAUCAUCUCCACUAGUGAAGAAUUCUCUGAAACUGCUGCUGCUAGCUUGGUGUGUAUCUCCAAUGAGGCUGUUUUGGCGUCUGAGCUUCUGCACCGUUGGGCUAAAUCCACUGACGAGGAAAUCAGAUUAUGCAACCUCAUCCGCCACUGUGCACUGAAUUUAAUGCACAUUACUGGGCCUGAAUCUGCUGCCUCCAUUGCUGCCAUGGUGGGUGUUGCUAAGGAGGCCAGGCUAAUGUGCCAGUGGAUGGGGCAAACAAAGAAACUUUAUGCCUACCGCUCUUACAAUCAUCCACCCCAUGAGAUGUAUCUUUGCGACAUGAUCCGUGAGGCCGUCCUUAAGGUUAUGAGCCACGUACUGAACAAUUACUCAAGGGGCAACAAUACUUACAUGGUAAUGGAUUUUCAAAAGAAGAACAGGAAGCGAAAGACCAAGGUGGAAACCUCAGAUGACGAGUUAUCACAGGCGUCACUUGAUGAACAGGCGCCACUUGAUGAACGGUCACCAAAAGCCAAUGCGGUAACCUUAAAUGAGAAGUAUCACAGACGGUCUUUCCUCCUGUUGUAA
This 1020-nucleotide ribosomal RNA is filed under the name Triticum aestivum (bread wheat). RNAcentral's name for it is "partial small subunit ribosomal RNA". Lineage: Eukaryota; Viridiplantae; Streptophyta; Magnoliopsida; Poales; Poaceae. The record is from RNAcentral.